CAAGGUGCAGCGCAAUUCGGUAGCGCAUCCGCUCCGGGCGCAGAGGGUCACAGGCCCAAACCCCGCCACCCCGA
This 74-nucleotide transfer RNA is filed under the name Isoetes engelmannii (Engelmann's quillwort). RNAcentral describes it as "tRNA-Pro". The record is from RNAcentral. Lineage: Eukaryota; Viridiplantae; Streptophyta; Lycopodiopsida; Isoetales; Isoetaceae.